Triticum aestivum (bread wheat) is the source of this 2215-nucleotide long non-coding RNA. RefSeq lists it as uncharacterized. The transcript is spliced from 3 exons. The record is from RefSeq and is a predicted model, not a curated record. Lineage: Eukaryota; Viridiplantae; Streptophyta; Magnoliopsida; Poales; Poaceae.
UGUGAUUCGCGGCGGUGUUCAUGUUCAGAUUGUGGCAUGAUGAUGACUAUGGCACAGGUGGUCAAGGGCAUGGUUAUGUCCUGGGAGCUCAUUUCGAUGACGGCGACCGUUUGCUUGCCUACUAUGGCGGCCAGCACGAUUUGGAGGUUAGAAGGUUGUAGGUCAUAACACCCAGGAGACAACAGUUAUUCAUCACACAUUUGGUGGUCGUCAGCAAUCUUGGGUCCCCUUUGUUUUCAUGUUUGAUUUAAUAUUUCAAAUUAUAAUCAAUGAGUCUGCCUUUCUGAUCGCUCUAUUUUUAAUCAGCUCUAAAUUCUUAAGGGAUCUGUCUUCCAGUAUGCAUAUGUUACAAUUCAUCAAAUGCCUUAGUUUUGAAUGGGAUGUGCAGGUUCAAUGUACUGCAUGUGGAAUGGUCUCAAAUCGCUAUGAGAAUAUGACGGAUGGACUUGACUGUUGAAAUUUAGUUCAUUGAUGUAGAGUGGCUUUAUGGGGACAAUAAGUCCAAAUGUGAUUUACCGCAUCUAUACACUUCUGUUACUUAGCAACAAAUGUUACUGGUUCAUAUUUUGAUAUAAUAUUUAGAGAUUAUCUUUCUUUGCCAUACAUGUUAUGCUUAAGUUCUUAGAAACAAAAUAAAAAAUAUUUUCAUAAAGCCAUUAAGGAACAAAAAAAACUGAAAUCCUUAUUAAUAGCAACAUAAUGACAUCUAAAUCUGUACAUAUAGUUUUGGUAAUCUCUUCUAGAAACAAUCUGUAGAUUGUUACAUCAGGUUAAAACUCUAUGUACUUAUUGCUGCUGUACACAAGCUGUUGACCUUGCUCUGUUUUCUUUCUUGGUUGAAUUUGCAGACUAGGACACACAUCCUGCUACAUCCCAAAGUUUUUUUUUUCGGACAUAGUGAUGCUGAAAGAAUCAGAAAAUUCAGUGUUAAUCCUAAUAUAGGACAAUUUUUUGAAUUUUUGCUGUUGUUGGUCGUCGUCACCGCUCCUUCCCUCCACGUCAAAGACCUUAUGGUCGAGCUCGUCUCAUGGUAGUCGCCGAGCUCAUCUGGAUUGAAGAUCUAUGUGUGCAAUUUGGUUUGAAUAUCGCCCUUCCUUGAUGUACCCUCUCUCUCCUACCCACCAUGGGAAUUUUUGGCACAUAUUCGAUCCAGAUGCAUGAGUAUUGCUGAGAUCUUUCGAUGAUUCUGCUAGCACUUUAAUAUGGACCUCUGGAAUAUUGUUUUGAUUUUGUUAGCACUACCAUGCACUGAUUAGGUCACUUGUUGAGUUAUUCCAGAAUCUAUUAUUCUUUUUUGCAUUGAGUUUCUUUGGUUGAAACUGUCACCUGUGCCUAUGUCUAAUAAUUCUUAAAUAUAUCAAUAUAUCUGCUCCGUCUACAGAGAAUAGGGGGCUGCUCGGGCAUGGAGCAGCCGGGCAUGUCAAUAUAGUUUGGAGUCUGGGAAAGGGAGUGUUCUGCACCUAGGUAAAUUAGCAACACAGUACACCUACUUCUCAAAAUAUGCAUGUUUGGAGAUUAGUUUUUAUUUUCUUCGGAUCUCUAUAGAAUUUUUGUCUGAAUAACUAAAAGUAUUUAUUCACACUACUUUGAUUUCUGAAAAUUUCGGUCUUUAAAGAUAUAUUCCAUUUUCUUUCAGAAUAGGAUGCACUUUCCUUACAGGACAGACAACAUGGAUAAGAAUGUGUACAUAGCAUCUUUUUAUGCAUAGAUUCAAGCUUAAGGCUUUGGACAGGUUUGAGGAUACAUCUGGUCCCUUUGAUUGUGGCUUCAUAUUUUUCAGCAAGUCUAGCAUGGUGUGCACAGGUUUUUGCAGAAACAUAGUACAGAUGGAAAUGUGACAAGAGUGAAGCUGCCAAAAAUUGACUAUAAGUUGGCUGCCAUGGACAUGCAAAUUCAGACAUGCUCUGACAGAACUCUGUUUCAUGCAAAUUCAGAUAUGCUUUGCAUUUUUUUGUAGGAAUUUUAAGCUCUAAAGAAAUAAUUAUUCAGACUGCAAGUUUUUUGUUUUGGGUUUCACAAAACUGGACAGGCCUGUUUGCAGGACAACAACAUCUAUAAUGUAGAAAGUCGAUCCAUCGUGCAAAGAUUUGGUUCGUUUGCAAAGAGCAGUUAAUCUGCAUCAGGGACACAGAGUUUAUAUUGCAUCAUCUGUUGUUACUGCAUCGUUGCUCCCUAAUCCAAGCAAUGAAAUUAUUCAUCUGUCAUCUCACCAGGA